UACAGAGGAUGCAAGCGUUAUCCGGAAUGAUUGGGCGUAAAGCGUCUGUAGGUGGCUUUUUAAGUCUGCCGUCAAAUCCCAGGGCUUAACCCUGGACAGGCGGUGGAAACUACACAGCUAGAGUACGGUCGGGGUAGAAGGAAUUCCUGGUGUAGCGGUGAAAUGCGUAGAGAUCAGGAAGAACACCGGUGGCGAAAGCGUUCUGCUAGACCUGUACUGACACUGAGGGACGAAAGCUAGGGGAGCGAAUGGG
RNAcentral lists this ribosomal RNA (253 nucleotides) under uncultured bacterium. RNAcentral's name for it is "partial 16S ribosomal RNA". It matches the Rfam family "Bacterial small subunit ribosomal RNA", at positions 524 to 776 of the family's 1533-position model. The record is from RNAcentral.